UUUUUUUUUUCCGAGACAAGAGUCUCACUCUGUCACCCAGGCUGGAGCGCGGUAGUGCGAUCUCAGCUUACUGCAACCUCCACCUCCCGGGUUCAAGCGAUUCUCCUGCCUCGGCCUCCCGAGUAGCUGAGAUUACAGGCGCCUCCCACUGCACCCAGCUAAUUUUUGUAUUUUUAGUAUAGAUGGGUUUGGCCAGGCUGGUCUCAAACUCCUGACCUCAAGUGAUCUGCCCGCCUCGGCCUCCGAAACUGGUGGGAUUACAGGCGCAAGCCACUGUGCCCGGCCUGUUAAUUUAUUUUUGCCCCAGUAUCUCCCUCCAAAUAUUCCUUAUAGAUGUCUCUUGGGGAGGUGGUGGGGGUUCUUGCGCUAGAAGAAAAAAUAUCUGUGAUUUCCUUGUCUUGACCCUUCCUGGCAGGUGCUGGGGACACAGCUGUUUCCCUGGGGCUGUGGCUGGGUAUAGGUGACAAACUUUUUAGCUUUGUAGAGGUAGGUCCUACAGCUGCCAGGCCAGGGAGGCUAGAGGCUGCCCUCUCCAGGUUCCUUGUUUGCCUGUGUCCUGUACUGAGCAGGCUUAGAGGAUCUCCUCUGAGCCCACUGUCACUGGAGCUGGUGGUGAGUCCAGUCUGCAGGAGAGGGGGUUCCUCUAGCCACACCCUCUUCAUUUCCAGGCUCUGCCAAUGAUGGGCUCAUCUCUUCAAUGUCAUCCUUUUUCCUGCAGCCACCUUGACCUCAAAGCAUUUCCUGCCCCUCCAACCUGGGGAACGACAGAAAAAAAAAAAAAAAAACCACCACCUGGGCACGGUGGCGCACUCCUACACUCCCCGCACUCUGGGAGGCUGAGGUGGGUAGAUCACAAGGUCAGGAGAUCAAGACCAUACUGGCUGACACGGUGAAACCCCGUCUCUACUAAAAAUACAAAAAAUUAGCCAGGCAUGGUGGCACAUGCCCGUAGUCCCAGCUAUUCGGGAGGCUAAGGCAGGAGAAUCACUUGAACCUGGGAGGCGGAGGUUGCAGUGAGCUGAGAUUGCACCACUGCACUCCAGCCUGGGUGACAGAGCAAGACUCUGUCUCAAAAAAGAAAGAAAAAAAGAAAGAAAAGAAAAACACCAUGGCAGGAAACUAACAAGGGGCCAGGAAGCUGGGAUGUGAACCUGGACCUGUUAAACUCCAGAGCUGCAGCUGUAAAUCACAUCCCUCUCCUGGACCACAGGAGCUCACUGGCCCCAGUUCCUGCAUUUGGAAAAUGGGGAUGGUUUUGACACCCCACCCCUCCAUGCCACCAUCCCUUCCUGGCCUCAUGGUGUGGGGAGGGGGUGGUAAAGAAUUAAUAAGGCAUUAAUAUUCAUCACAGGCUGGGUCCAGUGCCUCGCGACUGUAAUCCCAGCUCUUUGGGAGGCUGAGGCUGGAGGACCUUGGAGUUUGAGACCAGCCUACGCAACACAGCAAGACCUCAUCUCUACGAUAAAUUUUUAAAAAGUCCGGGUGCAGUGGCUCAUGCCUAUAAUCCCAGCACUUUGGGAGGCCAAGGCGGGUGGAUCAUGAGGUUAGGAGUUCAAGACCAGCCUGGCCAAGAUAGUGAAACCCCAUCUCUACUAAAAAUACAAAAAAAUUAGCCAGGUGUGGUGGUGGGCGCCUGUAAUCCCAGCUACUUGAGAGGCUAAGGCAGAGAAUUGCUUGGACUCGGGAGGCAGAGGGUGCAGUGAGCCGAGAUCAUGCCACUGCACUCCAGCCUGGGCAACAGAGUGAGACCCUGCCUCAAAAAAAAAAAAAAAGAAUCAAGAGAAAUUUCAGAGGGAGGAGAGACAGAAUAAGGCAACUGAGGAUGAUAGAGGGAGGGAGGCAGAGAGGAGAAGAUGAGACAGAAGUCCAUGUCCUCUGGGUUUGAUGGGAGGGAGGGAAGGAAGGAUGGAGACACAAGAGGGGGAGUGGAUAUGGGGAAGGAGUCAAAUUUGUUUAUGGGAUUGAGAGGUGAAGCCGGCUAGGCUUCUGGGUCGGGUGGGGACUUGAACUUUUCUGUCUAGCUAAAGGAUUGUAAACGUACCAAUCAGCACUCUGUGUCUAGCUAAAGGAUUGUAAAUGCACCAAUCAGCACUCUGUGUCUAGCUAAAGGUUUGUAAAUGCACCAAUCAGCGCUCUGUGUCUAGCUAAUCAGGUAGGGGACUUGGAGAAUUUUCUGUCUAGCUAAAGGAUUGUAAAUGCACCAAUCAGCACUUUGUGUCUAGCUAAAGUUUUGUAAAUGCACCAAUCAGCACUCUGUCAAAAUGGACAAAUCAGCACUCUAAAACGGAACAAUCAGCACUCUGUAAAAUGGACCAAUCAGCUCUCUGUAAAAUAGACCAAUCAGCAGGAUGUGGGUGGGGCCAAAUAAGGGAAUAAAAGGCCACCCGAGCCAGCAGCAGCAACCCACUCAGGUUCCCUUCCACGCUGUAGAAGCUCUGUUCUUUCACUCUUCGCAAUAAAUCUUGCUGCUGCUCACUCUUUGGGUCCGCACCACCUUUAUGAGCUGUAACACUCACCGCAAAGAUCUGCAGCUUCACUCCUGAAGUCAGCGAGACCACGAACCUACCAGAAGGAAUAAACUCCAGACACAUCCAAACAUCAGAAGGAACAAACUCCAGACACACCAUCUUUAAGAACUGUAACACUCACCGUGAGGGUCCACAGCUUCAUUCUUGAAGUCAGUGAGACCAAGAACCCACCAAUACUGGACACAUUUUGGCGACCACGAAGGGACUAUCGCCUAUCACCAAGCGGUGAGACUAUCGCCUAUCACCAAGCGAAUCGAGGCCAUCAAGCUACAGAUGGUCUUAAAAAUGGAACCCCAAAUGAGUUCAACUAACAACUUCUACUGAGGACCCCUGGACCGACCCACUGGCCCUUCCACUGGCCUAAAGAGUUCCCCUCUGGAGGACACUACAAUUGCAGGGCCCCUUCUUCCAGCAGGAAGUAGCUAGAGUGGUCAUCGGCCAAAUUCCCAACAGCAGUUGGGGUGUUCUGUUUAGAGGGGUGAUUGAGAGGUGAAGCCGGCUGGGCUUCUUGGUUGAGUAGGGACUUGGAGAACUUUUCUGUCUAGCUAAAGGAUUGCAAAUGCACCAAUCAGCGCUCUGUGUCUAGCUAAAGGUUUGUAAAUGCACCAAUCAGCGCUCUGUGUCUAACUAAUCGCGUAGGGGACUUAGAGAACUUUCCUGUCUAGCUAAAGGAUUGUAAAUGCACCAAUCAGCACUCUGUGUCUAGCUAAAGGUUUGUAAAUGCACCAAUCAGCACUCUGUCAAAACGGACCAAUCAGCACUCUGUAAAACGGACCAAUCAGCACUCUGUAAAGUGGACCAAUCAGCUCUCUGUAAAAUGGACCAAUCAGCAGGAUGUAGGUGGGGCCAAAUAAGGGAAUAAAAGCAGGACACCGCAGCCAGCAGCGGCAACGUGCUUGGGUCCCCUUCCAUGCUGUGGAAACUUUGUUCUUUCACUCUUCCCAGUAAAUCCUGCUGCUGCUCACUCUUUGGGUGCGCACUGCCUUUAUGAGCUGUAACACUCACCGCAAAGGUCUGCAGUUUCACUCCUGAAGUCAGCGAGACCAAAAGCCCACCAGAAGCAAGAAACUCUAGACAUGUCUGAAUAUCAGAAGGAACAAACUCUGGACACACCAUCUUUCAGAACCGUAACACUCACCGGAGGGUCUGUGGCUUCAUUCUUGGAGUCAGCAAGACCAAGAACCCACCAAUCUGGACACAGGAUGUGUUAUACAAAACUUAUAGGAGGCUAUUACUUUGGACUGACUUCCUACACCAGGCCCAACAAACUAAACCAAAAUGGAGUCACUCAUGCUAAAGUUUUACGUGAUCAAAAAGAAACUAAGUUGUUUAUCUGACCUUCUACAAAAUCAGGAGAGAGAGAGAUGGGAUAGCCAAGUCUCCCACCAGGUCAGUUUUAGCCAUCAUGAUAAGGAUGUCCUCUCUGCUUUAACCUUUACAAGAAAAGUAACUUUGGGCUGAGUGCGGUGGUGGCUCAUGCCUGUAAUCCCAGCACUUUGGGAGGCCAAGGCAGGAGGAUUGCUUGAGUUCAGGAGUUCAAAUCCAGCCUGGCCAACAAGGCAAGACCCUGUCUCUGGAAAAAAAAAAUUAGCUGGGCAUGGUGGCACACACCUGUGAUCCUAGCUCCUCAGGAGGCUGAGGUGGGAAGAUUGCUUGAUCCCAGGAAGUUGAGGUUGCAGUGAGCUAUGAUCGCACCACUGCACUCCAGCCUGGGUGACAGAGCAAGACUCAGACUCCAAAAGGAAACUUUAAAAUGACCAAUCCAAGUUUUCUUUUCUUUUUUUCUUUUUUUUUGAGUCGGAGUUUUGCUCUGCUCUCCCAGGCUGGAGUGCAAUGGUGUGAUCUUCGCUCACUGCAACCUCCGCCUCCCUGGUUCAAGUGAUUCUCCUGCCUCAACCUCCUGAGUAGCUGGGAUUACAGGCACCUGCCACCGCGCCCGGCUAAUAUUUUUGUAUUGUUAGUAGAGAUAGGGUUUCAUCAUCAUUAUCAUGUUGGUCAAGCUGGUCUCGAACUCCUGACCUCGGGUGAUCUGCCUGCCUCGGCCUCCAAAGUGCUGGGAUUACAGGCAUGAGCCACUGCACCUGACCUCCACGUUUUAUUUUCUGUUUGUGCUUUACUUGGCCCUUUUUCUGCCUGUAAAACCAACCUACCUGCUCAGCUCAUGGGAAAAUUAGUUUCAUUUUGUGAAAUGAAGUGUUGCCCGAUUGUAGAAUUGCAAAUAAAAUCAAUUAAGAUCUUUAAACUAAAUGUGUUGUAAUUUUGUUUUUUUGACAGAUGCCCAAUGAACACCCUGGGAAUGAGAUCCAAGAGGCGAUAAUGGCAUCUGCUCUAAUAACUAGUACAUUGACUCUAGGCUUAGAUUAUUCACCACUGAAUAAAUAAACGUAUUUAUUCAGCAGUGGGGAACUUACAGCAAUGAUGGGGACAGAUACAGUCCCUGAUGUCAUCAGGCUGAUAUGCUGCUGACAGAGGACAAAAAACAAACAGAUCAAUGGGUCAGGAAAGCAAGGCUUUUUUUUUUUUGAGACAGGGUCUUGCUCUGUUACCCAAGCUGGAGUGCAGUGGGGUGAUCAUGGCUCACUGCAGCCUCGAUUUCCCAGGCUCGAAUGAUCCUCCCGCCUUGGCCUCCCAAGUAUCUGGGACCCUGGCAUGAUGCACCACAUCUGGCUAAUUUUUGUUGUUGUUCUUUUCUUUUUUUUCCUUUUCUCUUUUUUUUCCUUUUUUUCUUUUUUUUUUUUUUUUUUUGAGAGACUGGGUUUUGACAUGUUGCCUAGGCUGGUCUCUAGCUCCUGGCCUCAAGUGAUCCUCCCACCUCAGCCUCCUCAAAGGGCAUGUUUUUAGGCAUAAGCCACCGCAGCCAGCCAAAACAAACAAACAAAAAGUAACGUAUACUUUGUGUUAAUAAUUUUGCAUAGUAUAUUGAAAAUUUGCCAAGAAAGUACAUUUUAGAUACUCUCACUACACACACAGUUAAUUAUGGAAGGCAAUGGAUAGGUUAAUUGCUUAACUCUCAUAAUUGGCCAUGUGUGGUGAAAAUGCCUGUAAUCCCAGCACUUUGGGAGGCCAAGGUGGGCGAAUCACCUGAGGUCAGGAGUUCGAGAUCAGCCUGACCAACAUGGAGAAACCCCGUCUCUACUAAAAAUACAAAAAAAUUAGCCAAGCAUGGUGGUGCAUGCCUGUAAUCCCAGCUAUUCGGGAGGCUGAGGCAUGAGAAUCGCUUGAACCCGGGAGGCAGAGGCUGCAG
RNAcentral lists this long non-coding RNA (5772 nucleotides) under Homo sapiens (human). RNAcentral's name for it is "HSALNT0396006". Lineage: Eukaryota; Metazoa; Chordata; Mammalia; Primates; Hominidae. The record is from RNAcentral.